AAGGAUUUAAGUUAAAUUUUAAACUUCUAACCUUCAAAGUUAUAAAUAGGGAUACCUAAGCCUUA
RNAcentral lists this transfer RNA (65 nucleotides) under Pediacus sp. MJ-2020. Its description in RNAcentral is "tRNA-Trp". The record is from RNAcentral. Lineage: Eukaryota; Metazoa; Arthropoda; Insecta; Coleoptera; Cucujidae.